GGAUAGCAGGAAGAAAAGCAUGAAUGGUGACUGUAUAAGACCAAUCUGGUUCCUAAAGUGGAAGCAAUUAAACAAUGGAACUCCACGAAUGAGCAAAAUGGGUGUCACGGCCAGACCCACUGAAGGUUUCUGGGAGGAUAUCCGGCCAAUCAAAAUGAGGUGGUCGCCGUGGACACCCAGAAUCGGAUUAGAAAAGUCUGGAUCUCUGAGAGAGAUGGAU
RNAcentral lists this unclassified non-coding RNA (220 nucleotides) under Hevea brasiliensis (rubber tree). Lineage: Eukaryota; Viridiplantae; Streptophyta; Magnoliopsida; Malpighiales; Euphorbiaceae. The record is from RNAcentral.